GACGAACGCUGGCGGCGUGCUUAACACAUGCAAGUCGAACGGAAAGGCCCUGCUUUUGUGGGGUGCUCGAGUGGCGAACGGGUGAGUAACACGUGAGUAACCUGCCCUUGACUUUGGGAUAACUUCAGGAAACUGGGGCUAAUACCGGAUAGGAGCUCCUGCUGCAUGGUGGGGGUUGGAAAGUUUCGGCGGUUGGGGAUGGACUCGCGGCUUAUCAGCUUGUGGGUGGGGUAGUGGCUUACCAAGGCUUUGACGGGUAGCCGGCCUGAGAGGGUGAACGGCCACAUUGGGACUGAGAGACGGCCCAGACUCCUACGGGAGGCAGCAGUGGGGAAUAUUGCACAAUGGGCGGAAGCCUGAUGCGGCAACGCCGCGUGCGGGAUGACGGCCUUCGUGUUGUAAACCGCUUUCGCCUGUGACGAAGCGUGAGUGACGGUAAUGGGUAAAGAAGCACCGGCUAACUACGUG
RNAcentral lists this ribosomal RNA (468 nucleotides) under uncultured bacterium. Its description in RNAcentral is "partial 16S ribosomal RNA". It matches the Rfam family "Bacterial small subunit ribosomal RNA", at positions 28 to 507 of the family's 1533-position model. The record is from RNAcentral.